ACGAACGCUGGCGGCGUGCUUAACCCAUGCCAGACGCACGGAAAGGCCCUGCUUUUGUGGGGUGCUCGCGUGGCGAACGGGUGAGUAACACGUGAGUAACCUGCCCUUGACUUUGGGAUAACUUCAGGAAACUGGGGCUAAUACCGGAUAGGAGCUCCUGCUGCAUGGUGGGGGUUGGAAAGUUUCGGCGGUUGGGGAUGGACUCGCGGCUUAUCAGCUUGUUGGUGGGGUAGUGGCUUACCAAGGCUUUGACGGGUAGCCGGCCUGAGAGGGUGACCGGCCACAUUGGGACUGAGAUACGGCCCAGACUCCUACGGGAGGCAGCAGUGGGGAAUAUUGCACAAUGGGCGGAAGCCUGAUGCAGCAACGCCGCGUGCGGGAUGACGGCCUUCGGGUUGUAAACCGCUUUCGCCUGUGACGAAGCGUGAGUGACGGUAAUGGGUAAAGAAGCACCGGCUAACUACGUG
Molecule: ribosomal RNA, 467 nt
Filed under: uncultured bacterium
Lineage: Bacteria
Description: partial 16S ribosomal RNA
Rfam family: Bacterial small subunit ribosomal RNA
Source: RNAcentral